GCCUGGCUAGCUCAAUUGGUUAGAGCAUGGUGCUGAUAACACCAAGCUUGCAGGUUCAAUCCUUGUAUGGGACA
This 74-nucleotide transfer RNA is filed under the name Podarcis lilfordi (Lilford's wall lizard). RNAcentral's name for it is "tRNA.Ile". The stretch from base 8 to 66 matches the Rfam family "tRNA", at positions 8 to 63 of the family's 71-position model. From Rfam's summary of the family: Transfer RNA (tRNA) molecules are approximately 80 nucleotides in length. Lineage: Eukaryota; Metazoa; Chordata; Lepidosauria; Squamata; Lacertidae. The record is from RNAcentral.